Molecule: small nuclear RNA, 135 nt
Filed under: Procavia capensis (Cape rock hyrax)
Lineage: Eukaryota; Metazoa; Chordata; Mammalia; Hyracoidea; Procaviidae
Description: U4 spliceosomal RNA (ENSPCAG00000019444.1)
Rfam family: U4 spliceosomal RNA
About the family: U4 small nuclear RNA (U4 snRNA) is a component of the major U2-dependent spliceosome. The structure of U4 snRNA from yeast and human has been reported. U4 snRNA presents a k-turn RNA motif in the 5p-SL related to recognition of Snu13 protein.
Source: RNAcentral
AGGUAUGCGUAGCAUUGGUAUUGUAGGCAGUGAGGGUUAUCCCGAGGCUCAGUUAUUACUAACUGAAAAUUUUCCAGUACUGUGAUGACUUCAGUUACAGUCAGCUUUGACAAUUUUUGACAGUCUCUGUGGAGA